UUUCUUAGUUUUUAAAAAAAUACAGACAUAGACUAGUUUUUACUUUGUAGAUUUUAAAAUAAAAUAAAGUGCAAAUGCAAAGGCCAUUUUUAUAUGGAGAUCUCACAAAUAAGCAUUAUUUGUCUUGUGACUCAAAUGACUACUAAUAAAGCUACAAAUAGCGUUUACUAGGGGGAAAAUAGUGAUCUUCAACUGUUUACCACUUAGUCAACAAAUAUUUGUUAAACAAGGAACUUCUCACUAAAGAAGAUUCACAAGGUGAAAAAUGAGGAGCACAUUGUAAGAGUGAAUUACUCAGAGAAAAAAAGGGAAAGUAUGAACACACACAAACAUGAGAGAAAACACCUGCUUGUCUAUGAACAUUUGACUUAAUACAGUUCCCAGAAAUGUUACAAUGAAAUAGCUGUUAACAAAAAAAUCAGAUUCAAUUAAAUGACAUUACAGUUUCAAAGGUCAAGAGGUAAAAAUGCCUUUCUUCUCUUUUUACUUCUGAGAUUUCUCUUUUUCCAGAAUUCCCUAGUGAUGAAAUCAACAGAUGGAAUUAUUUCUUUUUAAGCUUAAAGAAAGGUCACCAAUAGCUUUUAACAGAUUACAAAUGAUUUGACACAUGAUUUCAAAAGUGGGGAAAAUUCUAUGGAGGCAGGAACACUUCAAGAAUUGAUGAAAAAAGAUUUCAUAACAGCGCAGACCAAAAUUAACAUGGCUAAAGUGGUUCUAUUUUAAUGAACUAGGUGCAAACCAUCUCAUAGUCCUCUGAAUCAAUUGUGACUGUUGUAUUAGACAAUUUUGAAAAUUCUUUAAUAUUUAAAUUUGAUGUUAUUGCUUAAUAGUGAAAGGUCUUUUGUUAUCUUAAGGUAAAACCUCCACUUUCAUACCCAGGCCCAGUCUGUGGUGUAAUUACAAAGGCAUUUGCCUGUCCAACAUUAUUUUCAUUAGACUCAACCAAAACAAUAUUCCCAUUCUAUGCUCCCUACCUGUGAUAGAGACCAUUUUUGUUGCUGUGAAUGUCAGGACUUUCCUUCAUAAAGAUGGAGUGAUCCUUAGAAAUGACUGGUGCCCAGUUUUCCUGAAAAUUUCUUAUGUUGGGAGAAGCUCUAGGAUAUCAAAGCUGUACUUAGAAAAGGGAGGUCAGAGGUUAAAAAAGAAGGUAUCUUAUUGCUUAAAGGAGAGAAACUUUGAGACCCCUUUAACCUUGCCAUGUGAAUCCUCAAAAUAAUACAAUAUUUUAAUUUUUAAUUUUUAUUUUAUAUCUUUUAUAAGUGAUUUCAAAGAGAUUGAAAGGGCUUGCUGGAACCACCAGAAGUCUUAAGCUCUCUUUAGUUAUUAAUCAAUGGAGGUCAGUGAGUUACAGCAAUAUGUAGUAAAUACAUUUAUCUCAGGAUCAUUAUUAAUAAGCCAGUGCCCUGUACUAGUAGUGGUUAGGAAGAAUUGCUUUAAUAGGGAUACAGUUACGCUUACCUCUUUCUUUCUCACCUCUGCCCAUGCUUAACCUGGUAGCUUAGGGUGUCACAAGCUUCCUCUCAAAGUUAAAAAGAAUUUGUUAAAUUAUUUUUCUGAAUAGUCUUAUAUAUGUUUCAUAAAUGUGUAACCUUAAUAAGUUUUAUAUAUGUUUCAUAAAUGUGUCACCUAUAUCAGUCUUGAUUUCCUCAUUGGUGAAAUGACGGAAAAAUUUCUUCCAACUCUAAAAAUCUUAUGAUCAGUGCAGAUUUUUUUGAUGAAUGAUGUGAUUCUAUGAUACUCAGGAGUCUGUGUUCACCACCCAUGCAUCCUUCCUCCCAAAAUUCUAAAAAAUAUGCUUCACCAAUAUAAGGAAUUAAUUAAAGAAAGAGGAAUACAGAGGAUCUAGGAUAUUGAUAAGUCAAUACAGGAAACACUAGGGAAAUCCAAAAGCGAACAUUGAACAAAAAUCAUAGACCAAUGUCUGUGUAGCAGGACUGCAGAGUAGCUAGUCCAGAUCAAAAUAAGAGGACAGAGGCCUUCAGAAAGGCUACUCUUAAUGAAAAGAUGAAUGGAACUUCUAACUUUUCUGUUGACUUUGACAUAUUGAAAAGAGUUUUAGAAUUCUUUAGAAGAAUUUAGGGGUGAAUUAGAGUUAGUACAUAGAAGAAUAAGCUUUGAAAAAUUAAGCUGUUAUUAACUCCAGGGAAAACAUAAGUUGUACAUGGAAGAUAAUAUAUACUACGUGAUUCUGCUAUAAACCAUAUUUAUAUCUUAAUAAUGAUGUUCCUUUUUAUUCAAUCAAAGAUUGUUAUAUUAAGAGAAUGGGUAGGAGUUCAGAGAAGGAGUUUAGAAUGUGUGUAUGCUGGGGGAAGGCAUUGGUCUGUGUAAGGAGCUAGAUCCUAAUUUUUAUAGACAAAAAUCAACAGAUAUUGUCUAAAAUAGUAAUAACAUUUUAUGCAUGCAACCUAGAAAUAUGGAAGUAAACUCCAGGAAAAACAAAACAAAUUAGAAGUGGGUUGCCUCUGGGAAGUGGGGCUCCACAGUAGGGGAGGGCAGAGUAGGGACAUUGUCCCUACUCUGAGUAGAGAUGGUAAUCCCCUGUAUUACUGUAGGCAGAGUAGGGACGGUAAGGUAAUCCCCUGUAUUACUCUACUGCUAUUUGAUUUCUCAAAAUAAGUAAAACAAACACUUCAAUAAAAGUUAACAUGUUUUUUAAAGAGUUGUCCCGUAUAUGUUCAGAGGGAAAGGCACCAUAAUUUCAACUAUUUCUACAGUAGAGUAAUCCCCUGUAUUACUGUACUGCUAUUUGAUUUCUCAAAAUAAGUAAAACAAACACUUUAAUAAAAAUUAACAUGGUUUUAAAAGAGUUGUCCCGUAUAUGUUCAGAGGGAAAGGUACCAUGAUUUCAACUAUUUCUACUGAGACAAAAUGAUUCACUUUUUUUCAGAGUGGUGCUUGUAUUUUUGUUGUUCUUUACAUUUGUAGAAAUGAGAUUGUCUAUACACUGAUAAAUAACAGGUCUUAUACAUCUAUCUCAACAUGGAUAGGAAAUCAGUCACCAAGAUUUGAGUAUUGAAGAUGGUACAUGGGCUGAUUUUCAGCAGUCACCCCUGACACAGUCCCCUCAUGCCACUUGCAACAUGUUCUGCUUUACCACUUGCUAAGAUUGCCAGAUAAAAUACAGGCUGCCUUGCUAAAUUUGAAUUUCAGAUAAAUAACAUUUUUUAAGUAUUUAAGUGUAUCCUAAAUAUUGCAUGGGAUAAACAGUUUAGUAUGGUAUUUUGUUCUCAAACUAAUUAUAUUAGAAUAAAAAAUUUGAAGGAUUUAACAAAUAUUGUUUGGUUCUGGACAUGAUUUGUUAAGUCAGUUUCAUCAACUGAUAUUUAUCUGGAUAGAGCACGUUUCUUUUUUUUUUCUUAGAUGCCAAUAAAGGACUUUCACUGCAGGUUUGAGGCAAAUUACACAAUGUGAGGGGUAAAGUGUACAACACAUAAAAUCCCCAGCAUCAAACAAACAAGGAAGACAAAAUACCAGCAUCACACAUUUCCUCUAAAUUCACAGUAAAAAAGCAAAUUAUGGAAAUGAUGCGGGAGGGAAUAAACACUGGCAUAUUUUCUUCUUCCUUAAAGAAAGUCACAUCAGUCAUUAAUAUUUAUUCCCCUGUGAAGUUCUUUGUUCUAAUUUCCAUUAUCCAAAGGGGAAGUUCUGUCCUUGAGGACACCUAAAAUGAUGCCAUUACACGGUGGCAUCAGCAGCAUUCUCAGCACUGGAGGCCAAGCAGGUCAUUCUCUGGACAAAGUUGUUGCUCCAUAAAUAGUGUAACAAUAGGAUCAUUUCAGCAUUACCAGGGCUCCUGCAAGGGUCCCCACGUGCCUUGUUCAGUGAGGUCCUGAGGUCAGUAGAGUCACAGCUGAAGAGGGCACGGGCACUUCUAAGUAGUAAGGCACAACAGUAUGGGAGAAGUUUCAAGCUGUGGAAGCUUUCUGCAGUUCACACAACACUUCAGAUGAACUAGGUAUAGUUUCCCAGAAGAAAUCAAAAGUUCAAUUCUGAUAGCUUUAUCUUGCUUAAGCAGUACUUUUCAGGGCUACUUCACCUCUUAAACUUCAAAAAGCUAAGGAGGAGAAAAAUGACCCUCGUUUCUAGGAUUUGAGAUUCCAACCUCUACUCACUUGGCGGAUGGAUACUGAAAACUGCUAGGUGUCAGGCUUUGCAUGCUUCCUGUCUCUGAGUUGGCCUGAUGGCUUCAGUAAGAGUAAGUUGGGAGCAGUAGCACAUACAUUUGCCUAACUUUAAAAUUUUCCUUUUUAAAAUAGUAGAUUCUACACAUUGCCUCUUUUAGCUAUUUUUACUUUAGAAAACCCAAAUACCUGAGACUUUAAGGAGUUUCAAAUGCCUGAUGAAGACAUAGUGGAGUGAUCCACAAAAUAAUCAAAAUGAAUAAAUAGCAUUAGGUAUUAAAAUCAAAUAAUCUAGUGACUCAAACUUCUGUGAUUAAUCUUGUGUCCAAACAGUUAAUGGAAGAAAUAACCUCCCACGGACCUUUUUGAAUCUGUAAUUCAGUGGUACUCCUAGUUUUAAUAAGAAGCAGAGGUUUAGUAAUGUACAGAUAAUCUUUAUCAGAAGCUAUGUUGAUACUUGAAAUAGAGAUUGACUAUUGAUAGACUUGCUUCAGUUGAUCCGGCAUCAGUGGUUGUUAGAAAAAUAGCCACACGUGUUACUUGGAUAGAAACAAGAAAAUUUCCAAUCCUGAAUGCUUUUGUAGGCUAAAAAUAAAAUAUAGAUCCAGAAUCACAAAAACAAAUAAAUCAACAAACAACCCCAAACUCCAUUUCAGGUGAAAUUAGAAAUCACAGACUUAAUGUAGAUGACCUUGUCUCAUAGUAACUGACAUUCUGGAGCACUCUAUAGUGCUACUUUUAGUUGAGCAGUUUGCUCAGACAAGGCUUUCUGGCAAUUUGCACAGGAAAACUGUACUAAAAAUUUCUCUGAACUGUAAAAUAUUUGUUUUAUGCAAAUGUUGAAGAAUCCUGAGACCAAAAGAAAGGGAGGGGGAGUAGAGAGAAGAAGAAAACAAAUGUAGAUGUCUUAAGUUCUGACCAUCAGACAGAUUUCCCAAUGGCUUCUUACAUCUUUUACUGCUGUAUUUUUAAAAUUACAAGGAAAGAAAAAAAAAUUGUUGAGCAUCUGAAUAUUAUUAAAACAGAAAGACCACACAAACAUUUAAAUGAUCCCUAAAUGGCAUUGUCUCCUUCAAUUCAUCAUUCUUUGGCAUGUUUUUGACCCCUUUGUUUUUAUUGUUAGGAGAAAAACAGGAGGAAAAACUUUUUUUUUAAAAGGAGGAAAAAUAAAGUUUUCUGUAUCAGACCUAUAAUCACCUUCUACAGUUACCCUGGCAUCUUUGCUAACAUUUUAAGACCAUGUACAUUUGUAGUGCUAAAACUAUUAAUUUGCAUAAUUUAAAGCCUUAUUUCAUGGAACUUUAAGAUUCUGGAAAGAACUUGCUUGUUUCUACCUCCUUUCUGUAGACUUUCUCUGAGCUUCCUAUCUUCUUGUAACCCCAACAACUGGCUUGACUAAUUUUCUAUGUUGAGAUCAGAAAAUAGUUUGCAGUUGAGUAAACACAAUCUGAAUCAUCUCAUGGGUGAGGUUUAAACAAUGGGAUGAGAAGGUUCAGCCAAUUGUGAGUUUUAUUUACACAUCUGAUAUUCAUGGGUUUAAGGAGCAGCAGCAGAACUGAACACUCACCUCUACCAGCAGGGGCAACAAAGGAGUUUCUCUUCUUACAGUAGCUUUGUAGGGUAUUGUUAGGCAUCUGGAGAAAAUGAUGAGAGAGUUUGACUGUUUUAGCAAGUAUGGAUUCAAGGGAAAUUAUUAUUUUAAAUUUUUGUAAAACUGAAACUUUGAGAUCUUUGUAUUAGAAAACCUUCAUCUAUAAAUUGACAUUGGUUAAAGAUCUUGGAACCCAAAAGGCUAUUCCUUAAGAAUGAGACCUAGUAAACCAAGAAUUCCUAACUGAUAAAUAAAUUGACAGCAAAAGAGAGGAAAAAAAAGGAAUGUGUAAACAUACUAUUCUAAACCUAAAAGCACAAAACUUUGUGCCUUAUUUCUCCUAAUUUUCAUUUUCCCCUUAAAGAAGAAAAAGCCAAGACAUAUUUUCUUUAAAUAUGUUUUUAUAACUAUUUAUUAGGUUGAAUAUUCUUCUACAUAAGCUUAACCCUGUUGCUGUUGCUAAAAAGCCAAGACAUAUUUUCUGUAAACAUGUUUUUACAACUAUUUAUUAGGUUGAAUAUUCUUGUACAUAAGCUUAACCCUGUUGCUGAUAGAAAUUUCAAAAAGUAAAGUAAAAGUUAUGAAAAAUAUAUCUUCUAAUCCUGUCUGCCUUCUAUGUGACCAGAGGGAAAAAAUGUACUUCCAAUGUUUCUUUAACUUUUGUUCAUUAAUCAAAUAUCUGUAUGACUGAAACAUGGGGCAUCACUAGCAGAGGUAGGAGAAUCUAUUCUUGAGACGGUUGCAAUUAUUGGCUUUGGAUACAGAGUAUUGACUUUAAAGUAAUGAUGUUGGCAUAUCUUUGUGGAAAUAUCCAGCAGAGAGAAAGAAAUUCCAAACUGGGUCUUGGGAUGUUCAUGACUGAAGAUACUGAUUUGGUGUCAUCCACCCUUCCAAGUGUAGAGGAGAGGAUAGAGAGAAGGAAAAGCAGAAGCUCAAGAUAUAAAGCAAGUAAAGCACCCACAGUCAUAGGUAGAAGAAAUGAAAAAACAGAAGAUGCAUGAUUUGAAACAGAGAACUGAGAAUUGUAGAAGCCAAGAGGAAAAUAUUUUAAAUAAUAAGGUGGGUUUCAAGAAUGGCAAACAGUGUAAAGAGGGCAAGAAGAACAAAGACUGAGAAAAA
This is a long non-coding RNA of Cercocebus atys (sooty mangabey), 6831 nucleotides long. RefSeq lists it as uncharacterized. NCBI's taxonomy places the organism in Eukaryota, Metazoa, Chordata, Mammalia, Primates, Cercopithecidae. The transcript has 2 exons. The record is from RefSeq and is a predicted model, not a curated record.